GAUGAACGCUGGCGGCGUGCCUAAUACAUGCAAGUCGAGCGAACAGACGAGGAGCUUGCUCCUUUGACGUUAGCGGCGGACGGGUGAGUAACACGUAGGUAACCUACCUAUAAGACUGGGAUAACUUCGGGAAACCGGAGCUAAUACCGGAUAAUAUUUCGAACCGCAUGGUUCGAUAGUGAAAGAUGGCUUUGCUAUCACUUAUAGAUGGACCUGCGCCGUAUUAGCUAGUUGGUAAGGUAACGGCUUACCAAGGCAACGAUACGUAGCCGACCUGAGAGGGUGGACGCCCCACCUGAAAGGUAAACAGGGCCCGACCCCACACGGGAGGCAGGAAGAGGGAAUCUAUCGCAAUGGGCGAAAGCAAGCCGGAACAACCCCGGGGGAGUGAAGAAGGACUGCGGUAUGGAAAAUAAUCUUCUUUGGGAAAAAAAAACGCGUAAUUAAGCGAGCGAGUCUGAACGGACCCUAAGAAGAAGGCCCGGCUAACUCCGUG
RNAcentral lists this ribosomal RNA (496 nucleotides) under uncultured bacterium. Its description in RNAcentral is "partial 16S ribosomal RNA". It matches the Rfam family "Bacterial small subunit ribosomal RNA", at positions 28 to 507 of the family's 1533-position model. The record is from RNAcentral.